This 297-nucleotide signal recognition particle RNA is filed under the name Cebus imitator (Panamanian white-faced capuchin). RNAcentral's name for it is "Metazoan signal recognition particle RNA (ENSCCAG00000013799.1)". It matches the Rfam family "Metazoan signal recognition particle RNA". Rfam says of the family: The signal recognition particle (SRP) is a universally conserved ribonucleoprotein. It is involved in the co-translational targeting of proteins to membranes. The record is from RNAcentral. Lineage: Eukaryota; Metazoa; Chordata; Mammalia; Primates; Cebidae.
GCUGGGCACGGUGGUGGGUGCCCGUAGUCCCAGCUACUGGGGAGUCUGAGGUGAGAGAAUUGCUUGAGCCAGGAGUUCUAGGCUGUAGUGUGCUAUGCUGAUUGGGUGUCCACAAUAAGUUCAGCAUCGAUAUGGUGACCUCCCAGGAAUGGGAGACCACCAGGUUGCCUAAGGACGGGUGAACCGCCCCAGGUUGGAAACAGAGCAGGUCAAAACUCCUGUGCUGAUUAGCGUGGGAUCGUGCCUGUGAAUAGCCACUGCAUUCCAGCCUGGGCAACAUAGCGAGACCCCAUCUCU